RNAcentral lists this small RNA (541 nucleotides) under Pongo abelii (Sumatran orangutan). Its description in RNAcentral is "retained intron". Lineage: Eukaryota; Metazoa; Chordata; Mammalia; Primates; Hominidae. The record is from RNAcentral.
GAUGCCACCUCACAGGUCCCAUGUGCAAAUUCCGGGGGAGUUAGUAUGAAACAUGCAGUGGAAAUUCAGGCUGUGAUAUCGGCAAGCUCAUUCUGCACAACCCCAGUCGGCCAUCUUGGUUCCAGCUUAUUUCAGCCAGUUCUUUUAUCUCAUAAGCGGAGGGAGUUUCUGGGUUUCGGCAAAUUGUUUCUUUUCUUAUCUGCCAUCCUGCAAACUCAAGAACUUGUGUUAGUCAUUGGUUUCUUUAACUCUGUGGGGCACAGUUUCCAAUGCCCAUUAAAUCCCUUGAAUUGGACCAUGUUUCUUCCUCCUGUGCUCAGCUGCCCUUUCUGCCCUCCCUCAUUUCUUCUGCAGUAUGUGGGUGCCCCGGUGGCUUAUGUCCAGCAGAUAUUUGUGAAGUCCUCAGUGUUUCCCUGGCACAAGAACCUCCUGGCAGUAGAUGUAUUUCGUUCACCUUUGUCCCGGGCAUUCCAACUGGUGGAGGAGAUCCGGAACCACGUGCUGAGAGACAGCUCUGGGACCAGGAGCUUGGAGGAGUUGU